RNAcentral lists this ribosomal RNA (255 nucleotides) under uncultured bacterium. RNAcentral describes it as "partial 16S ribosomal RNA". It matches the Rfam family "Bacterial small subunit ribosomal RNA", at positions 99 to 354 of the family's 1533-position model. The record is from RNAcentral.
CGGACGGGUGAGUAACGCGUGGAAAACCUGCCGUAUACUGGGGGAUAACACUUAGAAAUAGGUGCUAAUACCGCAUAAGCGCACAGCUUCGCAUGAAGCGGUGUGAAAAACUCUGGUGGUAUACGAUGGUUCCGCGUCUGAUUAGCUAGUUGGUGGGGUAAUGGCCUACCAAGGCAACGAUCAGUAGCCGGCCUGAGAGGGUGAACGGCCGCAUUGGGACUGAGACACGGCCCAAACUCCUACGGAAGGCAGCAG